GUUAAGACCUUAUCAAGCCGUUAUACGCUCCUAUGAGUGGAAUUAUCAACAACGAAAGUGACUUUAUAACAUUAGAAAUCUUGAUGCCACGACAGUUGGGCCCCAAACUAGGAUUAGAUACCCUACUAUGCCCAACCACAAACUUAGACAAUAACCUACCACAUUGUCCGCCAGAGUACUACAAGCGCUAGCUUAAAACCCAAAGGACUUGGCGGUGCCCUAGACCCCCCUAGAGGAGCCUGUUCUAUAACCGAUAAUCCCCGUUAAACCUCACCACUCCUUGCCAAUACCGCCUAUAUACCGCCGUCGUCAGCUCACCCUGUGAAGGAUAAGAAGUAAGCAAAAAGAAUUAACUCCCACACGUCAGGUCGAGGUGUAGCGAAUGGAGUGGAAAGAAAUGGGCUACAUUUUCUACUAAGAAAACACGGAUAGUAAACUGAAAAUCUACUUUAAGGUGGAUUUAGCAGUAAGGAAAAAUCAGAGUAUUUUCCUGAAGCCGGCUCUAGGGCGCGCACACACCGCCCGUCACUCUCCUCAACAAAACCUUUACUUUUUAUAAAAAAAUUAUUUUACUAAGAGGAGGCAAGUCGUAA
This 593-nucleotide ribosomal RNA is filed under the name Somniosus microcephalus (Greenland sleeper shark). RNAcentral describes it as "partial 12S ribosomal RNA". It matches the Rfam family "Bacterial small subunit ribosomal RNA", at positions 660 to 1491 of the family's 1533-position model. Lineage: Eukaryota; Metazoa; Chordata; Chondrichthyes; Squaliformes; Somniosidae. The record is from RNAcentral.